UAGGGAAUCUUCCACAAUGGGCGCAAGCCUGAAGGAGCAACACCGCGUGAGUGAAGAAGGGUUUCGGCUCGUAAAGCUCUGUUGUUAAAGAAGAACACGUAUGAGAGUAACUGUUCAUACGUUGACGGUAUUUAACCAGAAAGUCACGGCUAACUACGUGCCAG
Molecule: ribosomal RNA, 164 nt
Filed under: uncultured bacterium
Lineage: Bacteria
Description: partial 16S ribosomal RNA
Rfam family: Bacterial small subunit ribosomal RNA
Source: RNAcentral